Molecule: ribosomal RNA, 1416 nt
Filed under: metagenome
Description: SSU rRNA
Rfam family: Eukaryotic small subunit ribosomal RNA
Source: RNAcentral
GUUCGAUUCCGGAGAGGGCGCCUGAGAAAUGGCGACCACUUCUAAGGAUGGCAGCAGGCGCGGAAAUUACCCAAUGAUAACACAUUGAGGUAGUGACAAUUAAUAACAGCAGCGGGUACCUUACGGUCCUGCUGACUGGAAUGAGUACAAUUUAAACUCCUUAACGAGGAACUAUUGGAGGGCAAGUCUGGUGCCAGCAGCCGCGGUAAUACCAGCUCCAAUAGCGUAUGUGAAUACUGUUGCAGUUGAAAAGCUCGUAGUCGAAUAUCAGUCCUGCCGCCUCCGCCCGAUCUCCUAGUGAGUUCGUUUGGUGUUGAGUGUGGUGGACUAUUUUGCAGUUUGUUGCCUUCCUGCCCUUGAUUGGGUUGGGUUGGUAGCGCUGCUCAAUCACUGUGAACAAAUCGGAGUGUUCAAAGCAAGCAAUUAUUGCCUGCACGCCCAAGCAUGGAAUGAUAAUAAUGGACUCUGGCUCUAUUUUGUCGGCCCUUGGAGCUUGGAGUCACGAUUGAUGGGGGUGGACGGGGGUGUCCCUAUUCAGUGGGGAGAGGUGAAAUUUGUGGAUCCACUGAAGAGGCCCUGAAGCGAAAGCUGACAUCCAGAACACUUCCAUUCGAUCAAGAACGAGAGUUGGGGGAUCGAAGACGAUCAGAUACCGUCGUAGUCUCAACCUUAAACGAUACCGACUUGAGAUUGGUGAUUGUUGUUUUUAAGACGUCUCCAGGAUCUUAGAGAAAUUAAAGUCUUUGGGUUCUGGGGGGAGUAAGGUCGCAAGGCUGAAACUUAAAGAAAUUGACGGAAGGGCACCACCAGGAGUGGAGCCUGCGGCUUAAUUUGACUCAACACGGGGAAACUUACCAGGUCCAGACAUAGUGAGGAUUGACAGAUUGAAGAUCUUUCUUGAUUCUAUGGGUAGUGGUGCAUGGCCGCUCUUAGUUGGUGGAGUGAUUUGUCUGGUUUAUUCCGAUAACGAGCGAGACCUCAGCCUACUAAUUAGUGUGCUGAAUUUCGAUUCAUGUUUACUUCUUAGAGGGACUCUCAGCGCGUAGCUGAUGGAAGCUUGAGGCAAUAACAGGUCUGUGAUGCCCUUCGAUGUUCUGUGCCGCACGCGUGCUACACUGGUACAGUCAACGAAUCUUCUCCUGAGCUGCAAAGUUUGGGUAAUUUGUUGAAACUGUACCGUGCUUGGGCUUGACCCUUGCAAUUUUGGUCAUUAACGAGGAAUUCCUAGUAAUCGCAAGUCAUCAUCUUGCAAUGAUUACGUCCCUGCCCUUUGUACACACCGCCCGUCGCUUCUACCGACGAAUGGUCCGGCGAAUACUUUGGAUACGAGUGAUUAAAGUGGGCAACUGCUUUUUUCAUUUAUUAGAAAUUGUGUAAACCUUACCAUUUGGAGGAAGAAGAAGUCGUAACAAGGUU